GUGAGGAAUAUUGGUCAAUGGCCGAGAGGCUGAACCAGCCAAGUCGCGUGAAGGACGAAGGAUCUAUGGUUUGUAAACUUCUUUUAUAGGGGAAUAAAGUGCGGCACGUGUGCUGUUUUGUAUGUACCCUAUGAAUAAGCAUCGGCUAACUCCGUGCCAGCAGCCGCGGUAAUACGGAGGAUGCGAGCGUUAUCCGGAUUUAUUGGGUUUAAAGGGUGCGUAGGUGGCUGCUUAAGUCAGCGGUGAAAGUUUGUGGCUCAACCAUAAAAUUGCCGUUGAAACUGGGUAGCUUGAGUAUGUUUGAGGUAGGCGGAAUGCGUGGUGUAGCGGUGAAAUGCAUAGAUAUCACGCAGAACUCCAAUUGCGAAGGCAGCUUACUAAACCAUAACUGACACUGAAGCACGAAAGCGUGGGGAUCAAACAGGAUUAGAAACCCUAGUAGUCC
Molecule: ribosomal RNA, 445 nt
Filed under: uncultured bacterium
Lineage: Bacteria
Description: bacterial SSU rRNA
Rfam family: Bacterial small subunit ribosomal RNA
Source: RNAcentral